This 290-nucleotide unclassified non-coding RNA is filed under the name uncultured fungus. RNAcentral describes it as "partial contains small subunit ribosomal RNA, internal transcribed spacer 1, and 5.8S ribosomal RNA". The stretch from base 1 to 73 matches the Rfam family "Eukaryotic small subunit ribosomal RNA", at positions 1759 to 1831 of the family's 1831-position model. Lineage: Eukaryota; Fungi. The record is from RNAcentral.
GCAAACUUGGUCAUUUAGAGGAAGUAAAAGUCGUAACAAGGUCUCCGUUGGUGAACCAGCGGAGGGAUCAUUAAAGAGUUACCACAACUCCUAAACCCUUUGUGAACUUACCUUAUUGUUGCCUCGGCAGUGCCGCAGUUCAUUUUUUAGAUGGCUGCCAUUGUUGUGCCUGCCGAAGGUCCCAAUCAUUAAACUCUUGUUUUAAUAAGAAAAUUCUGAAUUAUAAAUUAAAUUAAGUUAAAACUUUCAACAACGGAUCUCUUGGUUCUGGCAUCGAUGAAGAACGCAGC